Cavia porcellus (domestic guinea pig) is the source of this 4282-nucleotide long non-coding RNA. RefSeq lists it as uncharacterized. The record is from RefSeq and is a predicted model, not a curated record. Lineage: Eukaryota; Metazoa; Chordata; Mammalia; Rodentia; Caviidae. The transcript has 2 exons.
UAGGCAUUCUACGCGAGCUGGUUCGACCCUGUUUCUACCCCUGAGUUCGGUGGGUCUUUUUUCUGGCGUAAAGCUAGAGUGUUAGGAGUUACGGCAUUUACCUUGGUGUGUGAGGAGCUGGCGUCUUUGCGAGGCACUGUGCAUUCCUGCUGUGUGGACGGCUGGGACGGGAUUGGGAUGGCUUUGGUUUCUCAACUUGCAGAGUCCCAGUAAAUCACCUGUGUUGCCAUGUGCGGUGGCGCGCCCCUGUAAUCCCAGCGCUCAGGGGCAGAAGGAUGGCUGCCUGUUCGAAGCCAGCUGCUCGGAUUGGUGGUGUGAGUACUGUGCCCGCCCAGGGGUGGAGCCAGCAUACUGUGCGAUGUCGGGAAGAAGGUGUGUCUCUCCUUUUGCCAGUUUGUGCUUGGUGUUUACCGCAGUCCUGCCGUGCCACCCUGCCUUACAGCCCCCUGAGUAUGAACUGAAACCUCCAAGAACUGUAAGAAAUAAACAUUUCUUUCCCUAAUUUUGGGUGUCAGGUAUUUUGUCUCAGCAAUGACAGAAAAAUAACCAAGACAGGAAGAUAUGGAAAACUGGGAGCAUAUGAAUUUAUUUAUUAUUAUUUUUUUAUUUUUUUAUUUUUUGUAUUUUUACCGGUACCAGGGAUCGAAUUCACGACCACACGCUUGCAAGGCAGGCACUUAUACCGCUGAGCUAAAUCCCCAGCCCCAUAUAUGAAUUUAUUGACUGGGGACCUUGGGGGAAGUUUUAUGGGGAGAAAGGACAGUGGUACAGACUGGUAUAAAUAAAACUGGACUAACUUUGGUAAUGUGACUAAAAAAAUCUGUCUCUACUAAGGAAAUAAAUUGGGUAGAAAGUUUUAAUACACCUUUCCCCCAGUUUUUGCAAUAUGGAAAACUUGGACCUGCCCAAGAAAAUUUAUGAAAAUUGGCUCUUCCCUUUAGAGAAGGGUGCUUAUGGACUGGUAAUGACUUUCUAGUCAGGCUCUUAGCAUUGUACUAUAGGGCUGUUUGAACUUCCAUGUGUAUCUAUAAUCCAUUUUUAAAAUCUUUUUGAGGCAGGGUCUCACUGUGCAAUUCAGGCUUGCCUUGAACUCACUUUGCAGCCCAGGAUGGCCUUGAACUCACAGUGAUCCUCCUGCAUCAGCCUCCUGAGUGCUGGGAUUACAGGCGUGAGCCACCAUGCCUGGCCUACGCAUGUGUUUUAAUGUAUGGGAAUAUACAAUGGGAUGCUAAUCCUUUUACCUAUCCAAAAUGCACCUUGAGUCAGUGCAUUCCCUUCAGAUCUGUACAAAAUAAGACUAGUGAUCCUAGGGCAUAUGCCAGGAGGACGGGUUCCUAUUAAUUUAGCUGAACCAUGACCUUAGACCCCUGCUGCUCAUUUGUUGAUCAUUUCAUCCACAGAGCAGAGUGUGCUGAGACAGAUCACUGCUGGCAUAGUGUCUUUGGUAUUAUUGAUUUCAAGUGUAGCUGUUUCCGCUGCUGCCUUGGCCUGCUCCAGCAGCUCAUUUCUUAGAUAAUUGGGCCUGCUGAUGAGGCCUGGAAUGUACAGUAUUCUUUAGGUGCUAAGCUAAUAAGUGCUUGAGCUUACUCCUCUCGGGAUGGGAGAUCGGACUGAAAGUGUACAGCUACUGCAAAGCCCCACGAGCCGCUAUAACAUUUUCCUUUUUUUUUUUUAUUACUCCUUUACCUUAUAAUCGAUUUAGCCAUGUGUCAGGAUAUAUUAAAAAGCAAAUACAAGGGGCAAGGCACAAAAACGCAACUACGGAUCUUGAUGCCCUCUAAGUGUCCUGCUUCACAUCCAUGCCAACUAUUAUUAUUUUUUUUUAAAAAUAAUGAGGUGUGUCUCAUUGUGGUUUUGAUUUGCAUUUGCUUAGUAAUUAGCGAUGGUGAGCAUCUUUGUGCUUUUUGAGCACUUGUAUAUCUUCUUUGGAGAAUCGUUUAUUCAAGUCCAUUGCUUUUCUUUCUUCCCUUGAGACAGAGUCUUGGUAUGUUCUCUGGGUGGCCUUGAAUUUCUGGGAUCGAGCGAUCUUCCUGCCUCAGCCCUACCAUGUGCUGAGAUAUGGGCGCACACCAUCAUGCCUGGUGCUUUGCCCAUUUAAAAAUCAGAUUUCUUGGUGAUUUGUAGAGUGUUUUACAUAUUGUGGAUGUGAUUCCUUUAUAUGUAAUUUGUGAAUAUCUCUUCCUACUUGUGAGCUGUUUUUCACUCUGUUGACAUCCUGUGAUGCACAGAAAUUUAUAAUUCUGAUGAAGUCUGGUUUAUGUAUUUCUUAAUUUUACUUAGCAUCAUAUAAAAAAAAACCCCAAAACAGAAAGAAGCACAGAAGGGAGAGAGGAAGGAAGAAAACAUCCUGUACUGGUUUCAUAGAAGGAAUUUUACUUUUUAAAAAUUUCUUUUAUGGUACUGAGGGUUGAAAACAGGAGCGCUCUACCACUAUACACCAUCCUUUUAUUUUUUCUUUUGAGACUAAGUCUCACUAAGUUCCCUAAGCUGGACUCAAAAUUGUGACCCUCCUGCUUCAGGCUCUCAGAGCACUGGGUUUACAGGCAUGUGCCACCAUACCUGGCUGUAAAUUUACCUAAUUGUGAAGACAUUGAUGGUCAGAAUUCUUUUGUCCCCCCCCCCAUCUUCUCAAUGGUUCUUGUUUAUUUUUUUCCUCUUCUCUUCUUUUUCUGUUUUGUUUGACCUUUCUCAGUGAACACUUUACUCAGAUAUCUGCAGUUGCUUGGCUCUCCUUGUAAGUCCUUAGUUUUUUAAAAGGAGCCUACUUCUGGAGGGGAAGGUGUGUGUGGUAGACAAAAUAAUGUCCCCAAAGAUCCCCACGGUCUAAAUCCAGGCCUGCAAUGAUCCCAGAAUGGGUCCUCAUCCUGGACCUGGGGUAUGUUGGUUCGAUGGCAAAUGGGUCCCUAACGAUAUGAGGAAGAUUGAGGACUUUGGGAUGGGAGGUUAGCUUGGUUUGUCCCGGGAGAUCCUAAUAAAACAGUCCUCAAAACAGAACCAGGGAGCUGGCAAGUGUGAGAGACUGGGCUGGAAUACGAAGGAGGAGCCACGGCCAAGUAUGCCUUCCACAGCAGGCUCCUACCUGAUCCUAGCCCACUGAGACCCGUGUCAGGCACCAACUACAGAACUCUAAGGCAAGAAUUGCUGUUUUGAGGCGGAGUUUGUGAUCUCUUAACCACUCAGGGCUGGCCUUUUCCAUGCCUAUCUGCAACUUCCUCGACUGCCAGCAGAGGGCGACAGCCACCAACAAGAAGGAAAAGGAACUCAUUUCUUGGCAAGAAGUCAGGGUGAUGGAUGAAGAGGGACACAGAGGAGGGACAGACAGAUACUUCCGAGCAGUCAUGAAAUUGUUUCAGGAACCUGGCUGCAGAUCUGGUCACAGAUACCUCUGAUUUUGAAGGAAAUUGUGUCUUAGGGUAUCGUCAAUUUUCAAUGUUACACUUUAAUAAAAUACACAAGGAGAGAAAGGACCAGAGAAGGGGGGAAUGAAGUAGGGAAAGGAAGAAGAGGAGGAAUGGAACAGCAGAAGAUAAAUGAUUUGGCAGAACGGAGGACAUCCCCAGCCAGCCUUUCUUCUGUGGCUGUGUCCCUCCGAGCCCCUGGCAGGGACAGCACCUGCCACCCAGCUGACACCUGGCUAGGACAUCCAUGCUGGUCCCAAGGCAGAGCUUCAGCAGGAGCAAGCUGUGUCUGUGCCACUGGCAAAGGCUGUGUGGGACAGCAGUGUGUGGACGGCCUGCUGAGGGCACAUCUGUGGCCAGAGGCACUGUGGUUUGCCUUCCGUGUACCUCUUUCUUCUCCCACUCCCGCACUGGCUAGCUCGAUCCUGGACUGACCAGGCUCAAAGGCAGAAAAGCCAGUUGUCUGGUUAUUUGCCAUUUGUUUAGCCUCAUCUCAAACAUCCACGCAGACAUCUACCUAUCCACUGUGUACUCACCCAUCCGCCUACUUAUCCAUCUAUCCAUCUCUCCAUCCACCUAUUUAUCCACUAUCAUGGUUUAUGUUGGUGGCCCCCAAGCCUCAUGCCCUUGCAUUGUGCAUUUGUGCUUGGUUCAUUGUUUAGCGCUUGGAUUGGGGGUGUGAGUGCCACGCCCACAUAGGGGUGGGGCCAGCAUACAAUGUAAUGGCAGGAAGAAGGUGUGUCUCUCUCUCUCCUGCUGGUUUCUGGGCUUGCUGUUUGCAGCCACCAUGAACUGCGGCCCCACCAUGCCACCCUGCCUUGGAGCCAACUGAGUAUGGACUGAAACCUACAGAAACUGUAAGAAAUAAACCUUUCCUUUCCCAA